GCCCUCCCUGGGCGCGGUGGGUGUGCCCAAGUCUCCCGCCCAUCACCGGUGGGUCUUAACUCCCGCCCAGGACCCCGCCCCCUCGGUCCUACUUUAGAAUCGGCCGCAAUGCUGCUGACCCGCGCGAUCCUUGAACCGCCGCUCCACGUUGUCAGCCCAACUCCAGUCAGCACCAGGACUUCACCCCGCUUCCGCACUCUGACCCUGAAGAAGUAACCUCGUCCCGCCCUGUGUUCAGAAUCAACAUUCUAGAGCUGAAAUAUAUUAAAGGUCUGGAGAAUUAGACUGAACGAGAAUCCCAGAGGCAACACCGGCUGCAGGUAAAGCGCACAAGCUCUUCCCGCUGAAGGCUCAGGAUCUCGGGGCCUCUGCGUUCACUGCUGGCUGCGCCGUCCAGUCCGGUGGCCAGAGCUGUAGGUUGCCCGAGACACACCUCGAGGAAUCGCCUCUGCAAAUUCUCCCACUUAGUUAGCCCCAUUCAUAGGGGGACGCCAUCCAGCCCUUUCUUCACUUCCUGAGCCCCGCAAAAGAACAGUCAGACUGGCCUGGGGCCCGCACCUACUUGUCCUGAAACUGAAGCUUUUCUCGCAUCAAAGGAUUCCAACCUUGACUCUUCUUCCUAUCCCUUGCAGGAACUCGCCCCCCCCACCUCCGCCCGCCACCCACAUACACACACACAGUCUGUAGAUUUCCCCGCAAGGUAACUUUUUGCUUCCACAGAUAUCCUUCUUUGCCUGUGAGUUAUGGUAACUCCCAUGAAGGGCCAAGUGUGUGUGGUGACUGGUGCCUCCAGGGGUAUUGGCCGUGGCAUUGCCUUGCAGCUCUGCCGAGCAGGUGCCACAGUUUACAUUACUGGCCGCCAUAUGGACACCCUUCGGGCCACUGCUCAGGAGGUGAGUGACCACUUGAGGGAGUCCUUCCAAUUAACCACACCUCCUGAUCCUUUGUCUGAUCUUAGAAGACCCUGGUAAAGGGCUGCAGGUGGAGCUCGGGGGCAUGACACCCUAAUAUUCCUCAGAAAACAUGAAUAUUUACUUAGAGUAGAAUAGAUAAACCGCAUAAAUAACUUCAGGUAAGACUGAAUUUUGCUACCAAAUAAGUUUUAUGGAAAAACUUUUUGAGUUUGAGAGUUGGAGGGGUUUGAGAAUUGGAACUAAAGGGCUUUGGACCUGUGUUUUCCUCUAAGGCAGGUUUUACUGAACUGUAAAUUUUCACUUAAAAUUUC
This 1225-nucleotide long non-coding RNA is filed under the name Marmota monax (woodchuck). The record is from RNAcentral. Lineage: Eukaryota; Metazoa; Chordata; Mammalia; Rodentia; Sciuridae.